Molecule: long non-coding RNA, 360 nt
Filed under: Androctonus crassicauda
Lineage: Eukaryota; Metazoa; Arthropoda; Arachnida; Scorpiones; Buthidae
Source: RNAcentral
CACCAUAGAGAAAAUAGUGUUUCAGUGAAUGAAAUUGCUGAAAUGAUGGACAUCAGUAGGAGAACAGUUAUUAGGAUAUGCAAAUAUCCAGCAGAAAGAGGCACGUUGUCGCCACUUAAAUUAACAGGCAGACCCAGAGUUAUGGCGGAAGAUGACGUCCAACGUUUAGUAGAAGCCAGCCAGGAAAAUCCAUUUAAGACUGCCCCAUCAUUGAAAGCAGAAUUGGAUGUGACGUGUUUGCUGACCACAGUUAAAAGGAGGUAACGUAACUCAUACCUCACCUAAAUUAUUUAGUGUAAACUAUACAGUUAUUGGCCAUUUGAUGAAUGAGCUGCUAAAAUAAGAAUAAAAGAAUAAAUA